RNAcentral lists this ribosomal RNA (467 nucleotides) under uncultured bacterium. RNAcentral describes it as "partial 16S ribosomal RNA". It matches the Rfam family "Bacterial small subunit ribosomal RNA", at positions 28 to 507 of the family's 1533-position model. The record is from RNAcentral.
GACGGACGCUGGCGGCGUGCUUAACACAUGCAAGUCGAACGGAAAGGCCCUGCUUUUGUGGGGUGCUCGAGUGGCGAACGGGUGAGUAACACGUGAGUAACCUGCCCUUGACUUUGGGAUAACUUCAGGAAACUGGGGCUAAUACCGGAUAGGAGCUCCUGCUGCAUGGUGGGGGUUGGAAAGUUUCGGCGGUUGGGGAUGGACUCGCGGCUUAUCAGCUUGUUGGUGGGGUAGUGGCUUACCAAGGCUUUGACGGGUAGCCGGCCUGAGAGGGUGACCGGCAACAUUGGGAUUGAGAUACGGCCCAGACUCCUCCGGGAGGCAGAGGUGGGGAUUAUGGCAAAAGGGCGGAAGCCUGAUGCAGCAACGCCGCGUGCGGGAUGACGGCCUUCGGGUUGUAAACCGCUUUCGCCUGUGACGAAGCGUGAGUGACGGUAAUGGGUAAAGAAGCACCGGCUAACUACGUG